AGCUGUGUGUCGUGAGUGAUGAAAAAGUGAAAGUUUAUGUAAUACUCUCAUCCAGCAGCCGUGUGUCUCGUCUGACGAAGUGAAAUUCUUUUCUCUAUUUUCUAUUAACUUGUCUAAACAGAUAUGGACAUCUUAAACUAUUGUGUGCUAGUUCACAGAAAGCUAACGGUGCGGAAUGUUGUCUCGAUUUUUGUGAUGUCAAUUAAUACACACGUCAUCCAAUAUGUAUAGAACAUCGGUUGUUGCUGGAUACCAAUCAGCCAUGUUUCCUUUGGGCAGUAACAGAAACUUUAAUUAAAGAACAUUUUCUACGUCAAUCCUAGAACUCCAUCAAACGUCAGAAAUCAGAAAGGAGUUCAAAUGACGCCCUAAAACAUUUCCAAAUUCAAAUUGCCUAUACGUGGGACAUGACGAAAAUUAUAAUUCGACAGUAUAUAGGGUAGCGGAUUUCAAACGGGGGCAGUGUCACGCUGAAUAUACAUGUGGUAUUCAUCACGCCGUGCGGUUGCGGACUUUGCUCGGUCAACCAGGAAAACAAGGCAAUGUUGUUUCGACAAAAGUAAGGCAAGUUGGCUGCUUUCUAAUAUUUCCUUUUAUCGUAUAUAGAGACAUAAGUUAACACGGAUCUCACAAGCUGGCCUACAAAUCGUUGGUUAGGAAUUCAUUUCCACGAUGUCUUCAAUUAACCCCAUAGUUCGUGAUAUCGCCGCAUCUAACCCCGUUGUGUGAAUCAAGAGGAUUUCUCUUGAUUACAGUGAAAGUGAAGCAUCCAUAUUUUAAUGGGAAAACACCUGAGUACUCUGCAUGCUAUCGACAUCUCACGCUAGAAAAAAAAAGCCAACUUUCUAAUUUCUGAUUGUUGUACGUGUAUACAGUAUAUCUUUAUUGCCUAGUGUUUACGUAAUCUUAGAUUUCUCGUGGGAAAAAACUCCGUGAGUCAAAUACAAGAGGCUCAGCCCUGUUGAUGAUCGGCCGAUUCUUCUUAAGAUAAGACCACGUACUUUGUUGCGAAAGAAAUAAAACACCAUUCGUAUUAUUAUUAUGAUUUAUUUACACCUUGUACGAAAUCACGGCGGUAGCCAAUAUUCAAAUAGAGGUUGCAACCAAGACUUCUUAAAGUGAAUUGGGAAUGAAAUAUGAGUCAAAGAGGUAAUAAAACUUUUGAAUAA
RNAcentral lists this long non-coding RNA (1169 nucleotides) under Daphnia magna. Its description in RNAcentral is "uncharacterized LOC123470259, transcript variant X3". The record is from RNAcentral. Lineage: Eukaryota; Metazoa; Arthropoda; Branchiopoda; Diplostraca; Daphniidae.